CGAGCGCAGGAAGCCGUCUGACCCUUCGGGGGGACGACGGUGGAAUGAGCGGCGGACGGGUGAAUAACACGUAAAGAACCUGCCCAUAGGUCUGGGAUAACCACGAAAAAUCGGGGCUAAUACCGGAUGGGUCAUCGGACCGCAUGGUCCGCUGAUGAAAGGCGCUCCGGCGUCCCCCAUGGAUGGCUUUGCGGUGCAUUAACUAGUUGGGGGGGUAACGGCCCACCAAGGCGACGAUGCAUAACCGACCUGAAAGGGUGAUCGGCCCCCCUGGGACUGAAACACGGCCCAAACUCCUACGGGAGGGAGCAGUAGGGAAUCUUUCACAAUGGACGAAAGUCUGAUGGAGCAACGCCCCGGGAAAGAAGAAGGCUUUCGGGUCGUAAAGUUCUGGUGUAAGGGAAAAACAAGUGGCGCAGGCAAUGGGGGCACCUUGGCGGUACUUUGCGAGAAAGCCACGGCUAACUACGUGCCAGCAGCCGCGGUAAUACCUAAGUGGCAAGCGUUGUCCGGAAUUAUUGGGCGUAAAGCGCGCGCAGGGCGGCCUUUUUAAGUCUGAAUGUGAAAGCCCCCCGGCUCCACCCGGGGGAGGGGCCAUUGGGAAACUGGGGAGGGUUUGGAGUAUAAAGAAAAAAAAAAAGUGGAAUUUCCCCC
RNAcentral lists this ribosomal RNA (654 nucleotides) under Exiguobacterium sp. RNAcentral's name for it is "partial 16S ribosomal RNA". It matches the Rfam family "Bacterial small subunit ribosomal RNA", at positions 63 to 674 of the family's 1533-position model. The record is from RNAcentral. Lineage: Bacteria; Bacillati; Bacillota; Bacilli; Caryophanales.